GUCUACAGCUGUGCCACCCUGAACACGCCUGAUCUCAGAAGCUAAGCAGGGCCUGGUUAGUACUUGGAUGGGAGACCACCUAGGAAGACCAGGUGCAGUAGGCA
This 104-nucleotide ribosomal RNA is filed under the name Pteropus alecto (black flying fox). Lineage: Eukaryota; Metazoa; Chordata; Mammalia; Chiroptera; Pteropodidae. The record is from RNAcentral.